AUGAGUGGAAUAACUUCAUGGAGCGAAUUAAUUGUAAAAAAGAUAGCGAGAUAUGGGAAACUGAGGAAAACAUUUUACAGCUUCGUCACUGGGUCUCCCUAAGAGGACAAACUCUCUGCAGAACAAUUCGAGGAAUGAUGUACUACAGACGAGCUUUGAAGCUUCAGGCUUUCCUUGACAUGGCCAAUGAAAGUGUAUGGUGGGAAGAAUACAUAUACACUUGGUGAAAUUAAUGAAACUCGAAAUGAAUGGGCAGCCAGGCUUCUUGAGCGGAUGAGUCAUAGCUAGAGUAACUUUUGAAAUCAUAAUUAAAAAAUAUACUAAUUGUAGUUUUUAGUUAUCCCUUACAUAGUUAUUCCAAGUGUAUAUUUUGUUCUUGUAAUUUUUAAAUUUGGAACAUACUGAGGUCUAUUGAUUAUUUUGUUUGCCUAUUGAUUAUGUCUGAACUAUGUUGUAAUUACACAGGAAAUUAUGAAUGAAUAUAGUAGUUGAAAAUAAAGAAAUGAAAAAAUUCCCAUAUUCUACA
Humulus lupulus (European hop) is the source of this 526-nucleotide long non-coding RNA. RefSeq lists it as uncharacterized. The record is from RefSeq and is a predicted model, not a curated record. Lineage: Eukaryota; Viridiplantae; Streptophyta; Magnoliopsida; Rosales; Cannabaceae. The transcript is spliced from 3 exons.